AUAUCUCUCCGUACGGGAAGGAUGAGAAGCUUCGACUAAGGUUCGAUUCGAGCGAAAGCGAGAAAGCGUUGCCGUAGGCAACGACCCGAAGGGCGAAGCGCGCAGCGCUGAGUCAUCCUUCCCCCACCACCA
Molecule: small RNA, 132 nt
Filed under: Salmonella enterica
Lineage: Bacteria; Pseudomonadati; Pseudomonadota; Gammaproteobacteria; Enterobacterales; Enterobacteriaceae
Also listed under: 2 other names
Description: RtT sRNA
Rfam family: RtT RNA
About the family: This family represents a bacterial cis-regulatory element known as RtT RNA.
Source: RNAcentral